GAUGAACGCUGGCGGCGUGCUUAACACAUGCAAGUCGAACGAUGAAGCUCAGCUUGCUGGGUGGUUUAGUGGCGAACGGGUGAGUAACACGUGAGUAACCUGCCCUUAACUCUGGGAUAAGCCUGGGAAACUAGGUCUAAUACCGGAUAGGAGCGCCUACCGCAUGGUGGGUGUUGGAAAGAUUUAUCGGUUUUGGAUGGACUCGCGGCCUAUCAGCUUGUUGGUGAGGUAAUGGCUCACCAAGGCGACGACGGGUAGCCGGCCUGAGAGGGUGACCGGCCACACUGGGACUGAGACACGGCACAGACUCCUACGGGAGGCAGCAGUGGGGAAUAUUGCACAAUGGGCGAAAGCCUGAUGCAGCGACGCCGCGUGAGGGAUGACGGCCUUCGGGUUGUAAACCUCUUUCAGUAGGGAAGAAGCGAAAGUGACGGUACCUGCAGAAGAAGCACCGGCUAACUACGUG
This 466-nucleotide ribosomal RNA is filed under the name uncultured bacterium. RNAcentral's name for it is "partial 16S ribosomal RNA". It matches the Rfam family "Bacterial small subunit ribosomal RNA", at positions 28 to 507 of the family's 1533-position model. The record is from RNAcentral.